AUUAAAAAAGGGUGCUGGCGCUGUGGCACAGCAGGUUAAAACCCUGGCCUGAAGUGCCAGAGUCCCAUAUGGAUGCCAGUUCUAGCCUUGGCUGCUCCUCUUCCAAUCUUGCUCUCUGCUAUGGCUUGGGAAAAGCAGUAGAAGAUGGCCCAAGUCCUUGGGCCUUUGCGCCCAUGUGGGAGACCCAGAAGAAGAUCCUGGCUCCUGGCUUUGGAUCAGUGCAGCUCUGGCUGUUGCAGCCAUCUGGGGAGUGAACCAGUGGGUGGAAGACCUCUCUCUCUCUGUCUCUACCUCUCUCGGUAACUCUGUCUUUCAAAUACAUAAAAUAAAUCUUUAAAAAAAGAAAUUAAAAAAAUAAAUUUUUGGAUCAAGACGUGAAAUAAAAAUUAAGUUUUUAAAAGCAUCUCUUUUAUAAACAGAGCUACUAAUAUCCUCAGAAAAGUAUUAAUGUAAUAAAUGAAAUCAUCUAAGAAAAUAUAUCAAUAAGAAGCAGGGACAUAAUAAAAAAUGCAAGGGUGGUUAACAUUCCCAGACAAGCCAUCCAGGCAGGUAAAAAUCACAAGAAGAAAAUCCCAUGGUCAUUUAGAUUCCGUGUUGGAAAGCAUUUAGUGAAGUUCAGCAGCUAGGAAAGAGAAAACUGCUAGCAGAGCAACAACAAAAAAGCCAGCGACUUCUUUACUGUGCCUGAGAGUGAAAUGAACCUACAGCAAAUGACGCAAAUAAUAAGGGCUCAUUGAAAGCUUUUUUCCUUACAGUAAACCUAGGCCAUGAUUCCUGCACUCUCUCUCAGACUUUCUACUACAGGUGUAAUAAAGGAAAUAAAACAGCAAAAAGUAAUUACAUGGUAUAAAGAUCAAUUUCUAAGUCAUAAAAUGUGAAUAUCCUGGGUGAUGCUUAUAUAAGGAGAUAAUCCAUAAAAAUCUAAAAACUGAUAAAUGAGAUUACUGGAAGAUUUAUACAUACGUGUGUGUGUGUGUGUUCUAAUUACUAAGUACUAGCAGGAAACAGAAAAUAAUAAUAAAGGACAGGCAGACUAAAAAAAAAAAAAAAAACAAGUGAAAUUGGAGGAUUCAAUUUUGUGAUAUCCUUAAAUAUUCUUUAAAUCAAUACUUAAAAAACCACAGAUGAUUCAACAGAAAAAGUAUCACAUAGAUGAUGAAAAAGAAAGGCUCUGAAGCCAAUAAACAGCCAUUAAAUGGUAACCGACCUGAGUUAGUUUACUGCAAGCUCCAAGUAGGAUCCUCUCAGGAAGAUGAAGGUGGGAGCCCAGCAGUGAACAGGACCAGAGAGGAGAUCCCACCUCUUGCUGCAGGGAGGGUGGUGCGCAAGAGGACGAAGUUUCAGAAAUGAACCCAAGACUCCUUCUUGCUUCUGCCUCCAGCAAGACCUGGAGUUAUGCAGCAGCGUUAUGGAGGACGCGGAUUGGCUGCAUCUUUUAUGACGUGGUGCAUCCUCACAGCUAGGCAAGCUGUCCAAUCAGGUGUGGUAGCAUAAGUGCUACGUAAUCCCACGGAAUCUUGACAUCAUAGUAGUCAACCAGUUCCGUGGUGGAGAGGCCCUAGGAGGGGCUCCAACACUCAGAACUCUGAAUGUAGCCCACGUCCAUUGUUCUCGUACCUUCUUCCAUAGCAGGAAGCUGCUCAUCUAGGACCUCGGGACAUGGUUUUGAAUGGAUUGUUAGAUCAUUUGUUUGAUCCUUUUCCAAUUUUGAGCUGCUCUUCUGGGGAAGAAAAUCUGCUCCACUUGCAGGAUACUUAAGUCCAGCAGUGGAGGAAGAAUAAUUGAAAGAGCCCACAGUUGAGUUCAAGGCAAAAAGACACUUGCUUCCAUGUGAGAAUGACUGAGAAUACUGUCUUGGUUGGGUAAAAGUCAUCAUGAAGAGGAUCAGGGACCUCUGCAUCUCCAAGUAUAUUUCUACCUCCCAGCUGUGAACCCAGACUAGGGCAUCCAUUGAAUAAACAAUGAUUCCAUA
This is a non-coding RNA of Oryctolagus cuniculus (rabbit), 1972 nucleotides long. The record is from RefSeq and is a predicted model, not a curated record. NCBI's taxonomy places the organism in Eukaryota, Metazoa, Chordata, Mammalia, Lagomorpha, Leporidae.